This 417-nucleotide ribosomal RNA is filed under the name uncultured bacterium. RNAcentral's name for it is "bacterial SSU rRNA". It matches the Rfam family "Bacterial small subunit ribosomal RNA", at positions 355 to 787 of the family's 1533-position model. The record is from RNAcentral.
UGGGGAAUAUUGCACAAUGGGGGAAACCCUGAUGCAGCGACGCCGCGUGAGCGAUGAAGUAUUUCGGUAUGUAAAGCUCUAUCAGCAGGGAAGAAUUAAGACGGUACCUGACUAAGAAGCACCGGCUAAAUACGUGCCAGCAGCCGCGGUAAUACGUAUGGUGCAAGCGUUAUCCGGAUUUACUGGGUGUAAAGGGAGCGUAGACGGAGAGGCAAGUCUGAUGUGAAAAGCCCGGGGCUCAACCCCGGGACUGCAUUGGAAACUGUCAGUCUAGAGUGCCGGAGAGGUAAGCGGAAUUCCUAGUGUAGCGGUGAAAUGCGUAGAUAUUAGGAGGAACACCAGUGGCGAAGGCGGCUUACUGGACGAUGACUGACGUUGAGGCGCGAAAGCGUGGGUAGCAAACAGGAUUAGAUACCC